AAGAAAACCACGGGGAACUUCUCAAAAAUCUCGAAGUGCUCCACAGCAGGAGGUCACGCAGCUAGCCUGGCUGGUCCCAGUGCUGGUGGCCUCUCCACAGUUCCCUUCUCCUGGCCGUGGUGUUCCGAAACGUGCCCUGCUGAUGGCAGAAAACGCCCGUUUCUGCCUAGGACUCUGACCUCUGGAAGAAACAGAAGUAACAGAGAUGCUUGUAAUUUCUCAGCGGGGUGGAGGUACUGCCCGCCCUCCCGGAGCGCGGGGCCGGCGGGUCCCUGCGAGGAGCCCAGAGUGCGCGGGGCAGCGCCUGCCCCGGGAGCCGCUGCCGGAGCCGCGGGAGCCGAAAGUCCCUUCUGCUCCUCCCCUCGCCCCGUGACGGAGGCCGCGGGCCAGAACAGUUACGGGCGGUCGACGCAGAGCCACAGGCGGCGGGACGCUCCUCCGCAGGCGGUAGCAGCCCGACUCCGGCCCCGCUCGCAGAGGCACACGUACCGGGAUGCGACGUACCGGGAUGCCACGGUGCUCACUGCUCAUGUGGCGAAGAUUUGUAAGGAGAGCACCAUGAUCAUAUGCCAACCCAAUAACAGCAACAGCCUGGAAAGACGGAGAUCAGCCAGUGGUGGAUGAAAUGGCUAGCCUACUUUGACAAUAUGAAGAAAAUCUCUCUGCAUCCCUACAGGCCUGUGCCUCAGCUCUGGAGAAACUGUCCUGGGAGUGCUAGCAAUUAAAAGACAGUAUGUCCUACUCCACACCUUUACAGACCAGUAUCUCAGCUAUUAGAAGUAAGUGCUCCUCUGCUCUAGAGAAAGGACAUAGUGGGUAUAGAUCACAUGCCAAUGUAUGGAUUUACCCAUGUGACCAUGGAGAGGAUAUGAGGAAGUGGGAUGGAAAACACACCUCAACCCAUGAGGCAUGAGUAUGUAAGUUGCAAGGAAAAACAAUGGCAAAAGAGGAUUGAUUAUCCCUGGAAAACUGCUGCUUCAGCCUCUAGUGGACUGUUUUGAUACGCUGAUCUUAUUUCUGACUUUAAUUCACACGUGGAUUCAGUGGCUUGGCACAUCAGAACCACAGGAGUAUAAGGCUUUAGUGGAUGCUGGUGCACAGUGUACUCAAAUGUCACCAAGUUAUACAAGGGACGAACUCAUUUGUAUUUCUGGAGUGACAGGGUAUCCCGAAAGCUAAUUAUAUUGGAGGGUGAAGCGAACCUCACCAGCAAUGAGUGGCAAAAGGACACCACUGUGACUAGCCCAGAGGCUCCAUGUAUCCUUGAUAUAGACAUAGACUACCUCAGGAGAGGGUGCUUCAAAGACCCAAAAUGGUAUUGGUGGCCUUCCACCGCAUUCCACCCUGGAGAUUUUCCUUUCCUCAAGAGGUAGACAUUUCAGUAAGUCACCUCCAGUAAAUAUUCCAGGUAAUCCACACCAAGACAAUAGUAACUCAAACUUCACAAUAUUUAGACUGAAUCAUCAUAGUAUUUAGCAGAAAAGUGUUACCAGUCCUGAGCAAAACCUUGGGCUUAGUGGUGAGACCAAAGCAAGACGUUGGGGAAAGGGAGAUGCAUUCCAUCAAAAAACAGCUGAGGGUCUUGAAUUCCAGAAAAACACCAGAGUUGUAUGCAACAAAUAGCAGAACAAAAGCAGGACUACACUUAAAACAGAAUGCUUGAGACAGAUUAUUGCCUUUCUGGAUUAGAUGAGUAAUUCAUCUAGUCUGCUAUUGUUCUAUUAUAAGCGACUAUCACUGUUUCAGGGAACACUGCCAGAAAUUGUUCAAUGAAUGGUUAUUAGAAUAAUGAUUUCUCUUGAAAAAAUAGGGGUUCAAAUUUGUUACGUUUUGUUCUAAUGUAAUAACCUCUAACAGUGUUCUCAUUAACUACAUUGAAAUGACUUCUUGAGUCUCACCACCUGUUGGUUUUUGCUCUCACGGCCUGUAGACCCAAACGCUGACCAAGAUGUAGGAACAGGUUCCUUUUUAUCUGUUUUGUAGUUGUUGUUUUUCAUAUUCACUAAGUGUACUUGACUUUGUCUUUUCCCAGACACUCACUAUUAUACUCAUUCUUGUUCCUUCUCUAAUUAAACAGUUCCAAUUUAUUUCACUUUAUUCUCAGGUGUCUGUGCCUCCAAGUGGAGGAAGCCAACUUGUGCCUAUGGCAAUCUCUGGCAUAACUGUUUUUCUCUCUCUUCAUGCCUCUUUUUGAGAGAAAUGCUGCUAGAUUUGGACAGUCAUAUUAAAUUGCUUUAUAUUGGACUACACAGGAUAUUAUUUUCAGUAUUUCACUUUUCUUUGUUUAGUUGAAUAUUUUGUUUGCAACUUUUCAUUUCUGUCCGUCGCUGAACAGAGACGUUUUCAUUCCUUGAUCAAUAAACCUUCACUAUUGUCUGUGAUAGGUUAAUUU
Long non-coding RNA from Numida meleagris (helmeted guineafowl), 2392 nucleotides. The record is from Ensembl. NCBI's taxonomy places the organism in Eukaryota, Metazoa, Chordata, Aves, Galliformes, Numididae.